This 253-nucleotide ribosomal RNA is filed under the name uncultured bacterium. RNAcentral's name for it is "partial 16S ribosomal RNA". It matches the Rfam family "Bacterial small subunit ribosomal RNA", at positions 524 to 776 of the family's 1533-position model. The record is from RNAcentral.
UACAGAGGGGGCAAGCGUUGUUCGGAAUUACUGGGCGUAAAGGGCGCGUAGGCGGCCUUCUAAGUCGAACGUGAAAUCCCCGGGCUCAACCCGGGAACUGCGUCCGAUAUUGGAAGGCUUGAAUCCGGGAGAGGGAUGCGGAAUUCCAGGUGUAGCGGUGAAAUGCGUAGAUAUCUGGAGGAACACCGGUGGCGAAGGCGGCAUCCUGGACCGGUAUUGACGCUGAGGCGCGAAAGCCAGGGGAGCAAACGGG